CCCUGGUUAGCUCAGUUGGUAGAGCGCUCCAAUUGUAAUGGAGAGGUCCCGGGUCGAUACCCGGACCAGGCG
Non-coding RNA from Ixodes scapularis (black-legged tick), 72 nucleotides. Lineage: Eukaryota; Metazoa; Arthropoda; Arachnida; Ixodida; Ixodidae. The record is from Rfam.